GGCUUCCCCCUCGACCACGAGUUCCCGGACGACUAUGGGGUAGAGGAAGAGGAUGAGUGCGACAUCGAAGUGGAGCCUUUGUUCGAGGACGAGCUCGCCAACCAAACCGCCGGUCCUAAGCAGAAGCGCAAGAGCAAGUGCACGAAGGCGUACACAGCUGCCGAGGACAAGCUUCUUUGCGAGUGUUGGUGAGACAUUGGACAAGACCCAAAGACGGGCGCCGAGCAAAAGCAUUCAACCUUUUUGACUCGUGUGCACCGCAAGUUUCAUGAGCGCAAGAAGUUUCCACUCUACCAAUUUGUGAGCACGCGCGGGUGGGUCUCCAUUUCCAAGCGGUGGAGGGUGAUCCAACAAGAGUGCAACAAGUUUUGCGCCACCAUUGAGAGCGUCAAGGCCCGCCCCGUGAGCGGCAUCGGCGUGUAA
Molecule: ribosomal RNA, 423 nt
Filed under: Triticum aestivum (bread wheat)
Lineage: Eukaryota; Viridiplantae; Streptophyta; Magnoliopsida; Poales; Poaceae
Description: partial small subunit ribosomal RNA
Source: RNAcentral